Molecule: transfer RNA, 82 nt
Filed under: Ignavibacteria bacterium
Lineage: Bacteria; Pseudomonadati; Ignavibacteriota; Ignavibacteria
Description: tRNA-Leu
Rfam family: tRNA
About the family: Transfer RNA (tRNA) molecules are approximately 80 nucleotides in length. Their secondary structure includes four short double-helical elements and three loops (D, anti-codon, and T loops). Further hydrogen bonds mediate the characteristic L-shaped molecular structure. tRNAs have two regions of fundamental functional importance: the anti-codon, which is responsible for specific mRNA codon recognition, and the 3' end, to which the tRNAs corresponding amino acid is attached (by aminoacyl-tRNA synthetases). tRNAs cope with the degeneracy of the genetic code in two manners: having more than one tRNA (with a specific anti-codon) for a particular amino acid; and 'wobble' base-pairing, i.e. permitting non-standard base-pairing at the 3rd anti-codon position.
Source: RNAcentral
GGGCGGAUGGCGAAACUGGCAGACGCGCUAGCCUUAGGAGCUAGUGGGGUAACCCAUGGGGGUUCAACUCCCCCUCCGCCCA